UUUCCAAUCGGUCGACCCAAUCUUUACAGCACGAUCUUUACCCUUUCUUUCGAGUUAAUAACUUUUUCUCUAAGGGUGUUGAUGAUGACAAGACAACAUUAAACGACGAUGCUGGUUCAAGAGCAAAGGCAAAGAGGAAUGGAAUUGUAAAUAGAAAGAGGUCCAAAAAGGUGCUGUGCAUCCACGCCCCCGACAAUCUACGAUACUGCGUUAGUCAGUUAAAGGAGCCAUGAGUAUUGAUGCCUGAUAACAUCAUCUGCAUUUGGUCGAGCAUCUAAUUUUUAAACUACUUAAUAAAAUCGUUUGUGUC
Cydia fagiglandana is the source of this 310-nucleotide long non-coding RNA. RefSeq lists it as uncharacterized. NCBI's taxonomy places the organism in Eukaryota, Metazoa, Arthropoda, Insecta, Lepidoptera, Tortricidae. The transcript is spliced from 2 exons. The record is from RefSeq and is a predicted model, not a curated record.